AUUGAACGCUGGCGGCAGGCUUAAUACAUGCAAGUCGAGCGGGGUGAUGGUGCUUGCACUAUCACUUAGCGGCGAACGGGUGAGUAAUGCUUAGGAAUCUGCCUAUUAGUGGGGGACAACAUCUCGAAAGGGAUGCUAAUACCGCAUACGUCCUACGAGAGAAAGCAGGGGAUCACUUGUGACCUUGCGCUAAUAGAUGAGCCUAAGUCGGAUUAGCUAGUUGGUGGGGUAAAGGCCUACCAAGGCGACGAUCUGUAGCGGGUCUGAGAGGAUGAUCCGCCACACUGGGACUGAGACACGGCCCAGACUCCUACGGGAGGCAGCAGUGGGGAAUAUUGGACAAUGGGGGGAACCCUGAUCCAGCCAUGCCGCGUGUGUGAAGAAGGCCUUAUGGUUGUAAAGCACUUUAAGCGAGGAGGAGGCUCUUUUGGUUAAUACCCAAGAUGAGUGGACGUUACUCGCAGAAUAAGCACCGGCUAACUCUGUGCCAGCCGCCGCCGUAA
This 503-nucleotide ribosomal RNA is filed under the name uncultured bacterium. RNAcentral's name for it is "partial 16S ribosomal RNA". It matches the Rfam family "Bacterial small subunit ribosomal RNA", at positions 30 to 523 of the family's 1533-position model. The record is from RNAcentral.